RNAcentral lists this ribosomal RNA (253 nucleotides) under uncultured bacterium. Its description in RNAcentral is "partial 16S ribosomal RNA". It matches the Rfam family "Bacterial small subunit ribosomal RNA", at positions 524 to 776 of the family's 1533-position model. The record is from RNAcentral.
UACGUAGGGGGCAAGCGUUGUCCGGAUUCAUUGGGCGUAAAGAGCGUGUAGGCGGCCAGGUAGGUCGGUUGUGAAAACUGGAGGCUCAACCUUCAGAGGUCGACCGAAACCAUCUGGCUAGAGUCCGGGAGAGGAGAGUGGAAUUCCUGGUGUAGCGGUGAAAUGCGCAGAUAUCAGGAAGAACACCCGUGGCGAAAGCGGCUCUCUGGAACGGUACUGACGCUGAGACGCGAAAGCGUGGGAAGCGAACAGG